CUCAUGGGGAGAACAACAAAAGCCCACAGCUCUCCUCCCCUGCAGAGCUCAUCCAGAGAGAGAAGAAAGAACCUUAUGAAUAUGCAAGACCACACAAUGGAACAGCUCAGAGAUUCUGCUCCGUUUCAAGCUUUGAAGUCCAAAGGAAUGCUGAGAUAGCGGUCGCUGUCCGCGGAUCUGAAACACAUCAGUGCGCUGUUGAAUUGGCGCCUUUUCCUAGACCAUGUGGCUAUGUGCAUAAUAGCACCAGCAUAUUGGUGUAGAGAACAUUGCGGCGGAGGCAGCAGCGGAGUAAGAAGAUGAGAAAACAGCCUUUGCCUUAAAUGACUAAGAAAAGUGAGGAGAGAGGAAACACC
Molecule: long non-coding RNA, 356 nt
Organism: Coregonus clupeaformis (lake whitefish)
Lineage: Eukaryota; Metazoa; Chordata; Actinopteri; Salmoniformes; Salmonidae
Exons: 3
Source: RefSeq, a predicted model, not a curated record